Molecule: ribosomal RNA, 375 nt
Filed under: uncultured bacterium
Lineage: Bacteria
Description: bacterial SSU rRNA
Rfam family: Bacterial small subunit ribosomal RNA
Source: RNAcentral
UACGUAGGUGGCGAGCGUUAUCCGGAAUUACUGGGUGUAAAGGGAGCGCAGGCGGGGCGGCAAGUCAGCUGUGUAAACUAUGGGCUUAACCCAUAGAUUGCAGUUGAAACUGUCGUUCUUGAGUGGAGUAGAGGCAAGCGGAAUUCCGAGUGUAGCGGUGAAAUGCGUAGAUAUUCGGAGGAACACCAGUGGCGAAGGCGGCUUGCUGGGCUCUAACUGACGCUGAGGCUCGAAAGUGUGGGGAGCAAACAGGAUUAGAUACCCUGGUAGUCCACACUGUAAACGAUGAUUGCUAGGUGUGGGGGGUCUGACCCCUUCCGUGCCGGAGUUAACGCAAUAAGCAAUCCACCUGGGGAGUACGACCGCAAGGUUGAA